GGUGGGUGUGGUGUUGUACAUCUGUGAUCCCAGCAUCUCAGAAGCUAAGGCAGGAGGAUUGCAAGAUUAAGGCCGGCCUCAGCAACUUUGUGAGACCCUGUCUUAA
This 106-nucleotide small RNA is filed under the name Marmota monax (woodchuck). The record is from RNAcentral. Lineage: Eukaryota; Metazoa; Chordata; Mammalia; Rodentia; Sciuridae.